AAAGUGUUUAUUUUGGUAACGUGUACAAAGUUUCAGCUCUUCUAAACCAGGGAGAUUUCACAGCCAGGCUUUCAUGUUCCCAGCAGAGAAGGAGGUGGCUUAAAGAGACGAGUGGGCAUGAAAGCUGCUCUCAGGUAGUUUGGCUGAAAAAAGACUUAAUCAGAAGGGAAGGAGAGACCAGAUUUACACAAAUAAAAGCGGCGGGAGUAAAUACGAUCAAUAACGUUUGACCUUCCAAUCGUGUCCUUCUGCCCAUUACUCCUUGUUGCUCUGAAGGCCAAGAACCAGCCUGGGCUGGGAUAUUAGUGGCAUUUAGGUUGUCUGUAAGAGAAAAAGAUGAAAAUUGUAUUUAAACCCAUUCCUCUUGGCCAGGACAGGACAGUUCUGUCUUGAUCCACCGCUGUGGGAAGAUGAGAUAAAGUUGCAACUCGGUCAAGAUAGAUGAGGAGAGAAGGGAAGGGAAUGAAAAUAAUACAAAUUAUUGGGGCUGUCUCCGUGAGGCUGGGAGGACAGGACCAACAUGACUAAUGAUUUGCAGAAAAUGAUUUCUUGGCCAAACUUGGCCUUUAUAGAGGGAGAACUGUCAGGGGCCACAAUGGAAGUUUUCGGAUGUGUUCAUGAGUCCGAAUGAUUUCAUGAGGAAAUAAAGCACCCCAGGCAGGGUUACCCCAGGGACUAAUGCUCCUCUUGGCCAGCAAGAAACUCAAAGAGUCUCUGAGCAAAGAGGGCUUGUUCUUGAGGUCCCUCCAAGCUCUUCCAGUUAAAAUUAGCCUGCUUAAUUUGAGGUUUUUUUGGAUUACAGGGAGUACGUAUCGUGAAACCUAAAUGCAAAAGGGGGUUGGUAGAGCAACCAUCCAAUUGUUGCUGCUCUGUUUCUAUAAAUAAUUCUCGUGGCUUGGAUCUAGGCCCACUUCAUGUUUUUUUCCUCUUCUGAUAUGACUCUUUUCUCCUUUUGUUCUCAUCCUCAGUCCUUGUGAUACACCUGUGAGAUGAAUCGUUUAUUCAGCCAGUUGUUCAGUGUGAUUAUCUCCAGCAGAGAAGCCAACCACUAAAAAUUAGUGGGUUUGUAGAAAUACAGGCUAAAGAAGGACUGGGUUUUGUUGGUAUUUAAAAAAAAAAAAUGUACAUAAUGGCAUUUGUUGAAAAAUAGGGGGUCAGCUGACACGAUUUGUGUUGAACUCAACCAAAAAUGACAGCAGAAAGUAGCAAUUUUUUUAAAAAUCAAGCCAUUUCUUGGUGCUUUUUUGGAAAUGAGAUGCUUGGACUUCUUUUUCAAGUGAUGUUUGGAGCACCAGUGAAGCUAAUGCUAACUUAAAAAACCCCUCUGAUUUGUGCUUCCCCAGUGAACCUUUUUUUUCCCCCCUUUUUUCCCCCUGUUUAUUUUCUUGAGGAAGGAAGAAGCAAAACUUUGUCCUGAGUCACCUCAAACGACCCCGUGUCCUUGACCAGCAAAAAGAGCAACACAACCCUAAUAAAAUUCCAUGAAUCAUAGAUUUCUUAACUGCUUGAAACCCCCGUGAACAAAAACCCCAAGACAAAAGAAAAGUUGCCAAACCCUUGAUGUUUUCCUUCUGGCAACUCUUUGCUUUAUCCAUUUGGUUGCCCAACUUCUGAUUUGGAAACAAACUUAUUUUAAUUCCCAUAUGAUGGGAAUGCCCUUCAGUCCCUUUUGGCUUCUUUGCUUCCAGGUGUGUCCAGCCAUCUCUCCCCAGGAGCUGGGAAGGCUCAAAGGCUCCUUCAUGGAGGCCACUUGAAGCUGUGCUCUGCUGGAGGACCUGCAGAAGGGCUGGGUGGGGAAGUCCUCCCAUCUUGGGGGGUCCGUCCCAUCUUGGGUGUCCAUCUCCUCUUGCUCCAAGGUGCUCAAAUGCUCUGUGCUCUGACCAUCUGCUGGGGUGUGGGGCGUGCCUGUGAAGCAUGACUUGAAUGUUGGCUGCUCUGAAAAUGGAGGAGAAGCCACCAGUGCAAGCCAGGAGAAAUGGGAAAGACGGUGACUCCUGCCAGCGUGGAGGUACCUCGGGUCCCUUUGUGCGUGGGAAACGACACCAAAAAACCUGGAGGCUGCUGGAGGAAGAGCAUCUGGAGGGGAGGUGAUGUGUGGCCUGGGCUGCAGAACAGGUACCAAGGACCUGGGCUUAGCUGCAGCCCUGCUGUGAGAAGGCUUUGAAGCCUCCUCCCUGCUUGCUGUGCAGGUAUAACUCCCCUUAGAGCAUCCUGGGAGCGGGGAAAUGGACCCAGGCGUGGAUGGAACUGGCUGCUUUGAAGAAUUAAGAGGAAGAAGACUCUGCUUUCCCUUGCUUUUCCAAGCAGGAGAUUCAUGAGGUGGCUGGCUGAGCUUCAGGGACCUUGCAGUGUUUUCAUCAUAUUGAUGGGUGGAUGGAUUUUUGGUUCUUGGAGUAUGUUUAAGACUUUAAUUAAAUCAGUACACUCUGCAAUGGUUCCCUGCUGCUUAUCAGCCUCUUAAGGCCUUGAUUCAUUGCUCAGUAUGAUAUUUUUUUUUCCCAGCCUAAAGUAAGCUUUAAAAACUUGUUAUUAGAGAGAUUAAAGUUAUAACCUAAACAAA
Apus apus (common swift) is the source of this 2560-nucleotide long non-coding RNA. RefSeq lists it as uncharacterized. The transcript has 2 exons. NCBI's taxonomy places the organism in Eukaryota, Metazoa, Chordata, Aves, Apodiformes, Apodidae. The record is from RefSeq and is a predicted model, not a curated record.